UAGUCCACGCCGUAAACGAUGACAACUAGCCGUCGGGGCCCUUGAGGCCUUGGUGGCGAAGCUAACGCGAUAAGUUGUCCGCCUGGGGAGUACGGCCGCAAGGUUAAAACUCAAAUGAAUUGACGGGGGCCCGCACAAGCGGUGGAGCAUGUUGUUUAAUUCGAUGCAACGCGAAGAACCUUACCACCCCUUGACAUACUAGGAAUUUUCCAGAGAUGGAUUAGUGCCUUCGGGAACCUAGAUACAGGUGCUGCAUGGCUGUCGUCAGCUCGUGUCGUGGGAUGUUGGGUUAAGUCCCGUAACGAGCGCAACCCUUGUCCUUAUUUGCCAGCACAUUAUGGUGGGAACUCUAAGGAGACUGCCGGUGACAAACCGGAGGAAGGUGGGGACGACGUCAAGUCAUCAUGGCCCUUACGGGGUGGGCUACAAACGUGCUACAAUGGUUGGUACAAAGGGCUGCAAACUAGCAAUAGUAAGCGAAUCCCAAAAACCAAUCGUAGUCCGGAUUGGGGUCUACAACUCGACCCCAUGAAGUCGGAAUCG
RNAcentral lists this ribosomal RNA (543 nucleotides) under uncultured bacterium. RNAcentral's name for it is "bacterial SSU rRNA". It matches the Rfam family "Bacterial small subunit ribosomal RNA", at positions 791 to 1334 of the family's 1533-position model. The record is from RNAcentral.